Molecule: long non-coding RNA, 219 nt
Filed under: Crocodylus porosus (Australian saltwater crocodile)
Lineage: Eukaryota; Metazoa; Chordata; Crocodylia; Crocodylidae
Description: lncRNA (ENSCPRG00005003751.1)
Source: RNAcentral
CGAAGGGAAGCCCCUUCCCGCGCGGGGCCGGAGCCCAAAGAUUUCAUAGACAUUAGGGCUGGAAGGGACCUCGGGAGAUCAUCGAGUCCAGCCCCCUGCCCAAAGGGCAGGAUUAAACUGAAAUGCUUUCCUUUGUUCAGCCCUCAUGGCUACAGUGAAAGUUGACAUGUGAUCUGAGGCCAGCACCUGAAGUGAUGCCGGGUUGCACCCAAAAGAGGA